AAUCAUUCACAUAUUCUUUGAGCCAUUGCUCUGAUUUCAGCUUUAGCACUUGAUCUCGAUACCACAUCUUACUUCAGUGUGGUUUCCUGUGUCAGGUGUAUUCUUGUUGUCGUGUCUUUGAUUAUCUACGUUUUGGAUGCCCAUUUCCCCUUGUUUUUCUUAGGCUUUAACUCUUAUUGAAACACUCAAAUCUCAAAUGUCUAGUAUGAACAUAUGUGACUUUGCACUCUGUUUCAAUUCUGAUGUUUCAGUCUCUAUGUUGAUGACUAAUGUAGAGGUGAAAGUCUCAUGAGUUGUACUCUUCCAUAACUCUAGACAAAUUUAUAUUUAAG
RNAcentral lists this long non-coding RNA (332 nucleotides) under Olea europaea (common olive). Its description in RNAcentral is "long non-coding RNA (OEUR_LNC005578)". Lineage: Eukaryota; Viridiplantae; Streptophyta; Magnoliopsida; Lamiales; Oleaceae. The record is from RNAcentral.